AGUGAACGCUGGCGGUAGGCCUAACACAUGCAAGUCGAACGGCAGCACAGUAAGAGCUUGCUCUUACGGGUGGCGAGUGGCGGACGGGUGAGGAAUACAUCGGAAUCUACUUUUUCGUGGGGGAUAACGUAGGGAAACUUACGCUAAUACCGCAUACGACCUACGGGUGAAAGCAGGGGAUCUUCGGACCUUGCGCGAUUGAAUGAGCCGAUGUCGGAUUAGCUAGUUGGCGGGGUAAAGGCCCACCAAGGCGAGGAUCCGUAGCUGGUCUGAGAGGAUGAGCAGCCACACUGGAACUGAGACACGGUCCAGACUCCUACGGGAGGCAGCAGUGGGGAAUAUUGGACAAUGGGCGCAAGCCUGAUCCAGCCAUACCGCGUGGGUGAAGAAGGCCUUCGGGUUGUAAAACCCUUUUGUUGGGAAAGAAAAGCAGCAGGUUAAUACCCCGCUGUUCUGAAGGUACCCAAAGAAUAAGCACCGGCUAACUUCGUG
RNAcentral lists this ribosomal RNA (492 nucleotides) under uncultured bacterium. RNAcentral describes it as "partial 16S ribosomal RNA". It matches the Rfam family "Bacterial small subunit ribosomal RNA", at positions 29 to 507 of the family's 1533-position model. The record is from RNAcentral.